AACGCACAUUGCGCCCUUUGGUAUUCCGAAGGGCAUGCCUGUUCGAGCGUCAUUGCAACCCUCAAGCACUGCUUGGUAUUGGGCCUCGUCCCCGCGACGUGCCCGCAAUUUCGUGGCGGUCCAGUGAGACUUGAAGCGUAGCAAGAUUUAUAUCCCGCUUUGCAAGCCUCUCGCUGCGUGCCGGCCAAACAACCCUUCUAUUUUUCAAUGGUUGACCUCGGAUCAGGUAGGGAUACCCGCUGAACUUAA
This 249-nucleotide unclassified non-coding RNA is filed under the name Typhula sp. RNAcentral describes it as "partial contains 5.8S ribosomal RNA, internal transcribed spacer 2, and large subunit ribosomal RNA". The stretch from base 1 to 52 matches the Rfam family "5.8S ribosomal RNA", at positions 103 to 154 of the family's 154-position model. RNAcentral also lists the same sequence under 1 other name. The record is from RNAcentral. Lineage: Eukaryota; Fungi; Basidiomycota; Agaricomycetes; Agaricales; Typhulaceae.